AUUGAACGCUGGCGGCAGGCCUAACACAUGCAAGUCGAGCGGAUGAAGGGAGCUUGCUCCUGGACUCAGCGGCGGACGGGUGAGUAAUGCCUAGGAAUCUGCCUGGUAGUGGGGGAUAACGUCCGGAAACGGGCGCUAAUACCGCAUACGUCCUGAGGGAGAAAGUGGGGGAUCUUCAGACCUCACGCUAUCAGAUGAGCCUAGGUCGGAUUAGCUAGUUGGUGGGGUAAAGGCCUACCAAGGCGACGAUCCGUAACUGGUCUGAGAGGAUGAUCAGUCACACUGGAACUGAGACACGGUCCAGACUCCUACGGGAGGCAGCAGUGGGGAAUAUUGGACAAUGGGCGAAAGCCUGAUCCAGCCAUGCCGCGUGUGUGAAGAAGGUCUUCGGAUUGUAAAGCACUUUAAGUUGGGAGGAAGGGCAGUAAGUUAAUACCUUGCUGUUUUGACGUUACCAACAGAAUAAGCACCGGCUAACUUCGUG
This 484-nucleotide ribosomal RNA is filed under the name uncultured bacterium. RNAcentral describes it as "partial 16S ribosomal RNA". It matches the Rfam family "Bacterial small subunit ribosomal RNA", at positions 30 to 507 of the family's 1533-position model. The record is from RNAcentral.